CCCCCUAUCGUCUAGAGGCCUAGGACACGGGCUUUUCAAGUCCGCGACACGGGUUCGAAUCCCGUUGGGGGGACCA
RNAcentral lists this transfer RNA (76 nucleotides) under Planctomycetota bacterium. Its description in RNAcentral is "Planctomycetes bacterium tRNA-Glu". It matches the Rfam family "tRNA". From Rfam's summary of the family: Transfer RNA (tRNA) molecules are approximately 80 nucleotides in length. Their secondary structure includes four short double-helical elements and three loops (D, anti-codon, and T loops). Further hydrogen bonds mediate the characteristic L-shaped molecular structure. tRNAs have two regions of fundamental functional importance: the anti-codon, which is responsible for specific mRNA codon recognition, and the 3' end, to which the tRNAs corresponding amino acid is attached (by aminoacyl-tRNA synthetases). tRNAs cope with the degeneracy of the genetic code in two manners: having more than one tRNA (with a specific anti-codon) for a particular amino acid; and 'wobble' base-pairing, i.e. permitting non-standard base-pairing at the 3rd anti-codon position. Lineage: Bacteria; Pseudomonadati; Planctomycetota. RNAcentral also lists the same sequence under 1 other name. The record is from RNAcentral.